Molecule: ribosomal RNA, 253 nt
Filed under: uncultured bacterium
Lineage: Bacteria
Description: partial 16S ribosomal RNA
Rfam family: Bacterial small subunit ribosomal RNA
Source: RNAcentral
UACGUAGGGUGCGAGCGUUAAUCGGAAUUACUGGGCGUAAAGCGUGCGCAGGCGGUUCGUUGUGUCGGCGGUGAAAGCCCCGGGCUCAACCUGGGAAUGGCCGUUGAAACUGGCGAACUGGAGUGUGGCAGAGGGGGAUGGAAUUCCGCGUGUAGCAGUGAAAUGCGUAGAUAUGCGGAGGAACACCGAUGGCGAAGGCAAUCCCCUGGGCCUGCACUGACGCUCAUGCACGAAAGCGUGGGGAGCAAACAGG